GCCUUGUGCAGGACACACUGCUGCUUACAUGCCUGGGACUCAACUGCCAGCGUCCGGUGUGGGAUCAGAGAAUUCAAGGGAUAAAAUAGAGAAGAGGACAAAUGUGAAACAGCACACAGUUGUGCACAGAUGAAGGAAAAAUGCCCCUGGGUAAAGGAAAAGGCCAGGAAGGGAAGAGGUUUCUUCAUCUGUCAGGGUGACAACGAACAUGUUCCAUGUAGCGUUCAUGAAAGGGGUUGAAGGAAGAACACUGCUAUUUGUAUUUUCUCUAAGCAGCCUGUGAUACGGAAUGGACCAGCUGGUCUGAACCCUUCCAGGCACUCACAGUGGGUUUGGGAAAGAGCCCUCUGUGUUCUUCUCACCAGUCAAGCAUGUGAAGGAGGGUAUGAAAAGGCACAGAGAGCCAUGGGGCCCAGAAAAUUCCAUCAAUCCAUCGCCUGCCUCCUCUGCAGCAGGCUCUGCCAAUCUGUCCACAGUUCCAGGGGCAGGUGGAGAGAGGGAUGUGAGGCAAUAAGUGGAAAUAGGAGCUGUGUGUGCCUUUGUGUGUGUGUGUGUGUGUGUGUGUGUGUGUCCGUCCAAGCACACAGACAGGACUAGCAAUAGAAGAGCAGGCAAGAGGGCGUGGGAGUCUGGGAACUCAUUUAUAAAAGCUCUUCUGCCCUAAAGCAAGUCAAACUCCCUGCUGAGGAGUUGCUUUUUCUUCCUCC
Molecule: long non-coding RNA, 707 nt
Filed under: Heterocephalus glaber (naked mole-rat)
Lineage: Eukaryota; Metazoa; Chordata; Mammalia; Rodentia; Bathyergidae
Description: lncRNA (ENSHGLG00100051370.1)
Source: RNAcentral